This 329-nucleotide ribosomal RNA is filed under the name uncultured eukaryote. RNAcentral's name for it is "partial 18S ribosomal RNA". It matches the Rfam family "Eukaryotic small subunit ribosomal RNA", at positions 1470 to 1796 of the family's 1831-position model. The record is from RNAcentral.
CCCUUAGAUGUCCUGGGCCGCACGCGCGCUACACUGAGUGUCUGAGAUACGAGUCUGCCUGGUCCGGCAAGGUCUAGGUAAUCGCUAAAAGACACAUCAUGCUUGGGAUAGAUUAUUGCAAAUAUUAAUCUUGAACGAGGAAUUCCUAGUAAGCGCAAGUCAACAGCUUGCGUUGAUUACGUCCCUGCCCUUUGUACACACCGCCCGUCGCUACUACUGAUUGGAUGUUUAAGCGAGGUUCUCGAACUGCUAGCGACUUAGCUUCGGUGAGGUCGCAGUGUAGGAAGUGAACCUAGCUUUGGUGUCUAGAGGAAGUAAAAGUCGUAACA